Molecule: ribosomal RNA, 277 nt
Filed under: uncultured bacterium
Lineage: Bacteria
Description: partial 16S ribosomal RNA
Rfam family: Bacterial small subunit ribosomal RNA
Source: RNAcentral
CUUUCUCCGCCGGCGACCGGCGCACGGGUGAGUAACACGUAUGCAACCUGCCCCUGUCAGGGGGACAACCCGCCGAAAGGCGGGGCUAAACCCGCGUACAUGCCACCGGGGCAUCCCGGAGGCAGGAAAGGCUUCGGCCGGACAGGGAUGGGCAUGCGGCGCAUUAGGCAGUAGGCGGGGUAACGGCCCACCUAACCGACGAUGCGUAGGGGUUCUGAGAGGAAGGUCCCCCACACUGGUACUGAGACACGGACCAGACUCCUACGGGAGGCAGCAG